GGACCCGCACAAGUAGUGGAGCAUGUGGUUUAAUUCGAAGAUACGCGCAGAACCUUACCAACACUUGACAUGUUCGUCGCGACUCUAAGAGAUUAGAGUUUUCGGUUCGGCCGGACGAAACACAGGUGCUGCAUGGCUGUCGUCAGCUCGUGUCGUGAGAUGUUGGGUUAAGUCCCGCAACGAGCGCAACCCUCACUUUUAGUUGCCAUCAUUAAGUUGGGCACUCUGAAAGAACUACCAGUGAUAAGCUGGAGGAAGGUGGGGAUGACGUCAAGUCCUCAUGGCCCUUACGUGUUGGGCUACACACGUGCUACAAUGGUAUCUACAACAGGAAGCAAAACGGCGACGUUAAGCAAAUCCUCAAAAGAUACCUCAGUUCGGAUUGCACUCUGCAACUCGAGUGCAUGAAGCUGGAAUU
Molecule: ribosomal RNA, 418 nt
Filed under: uncultured bacterium
Lineage: Bacteria
Description: bacterial SSU rRNA
Rfam family: Bacterial small subunit ribosomal RNA
Source: RNAcentral